AACAACAUGCAGGGCUGAGUAAAAAUACUCAGUGAACAUAUGCCGGAAAUAUAACAUUUUAUAUCAUUUAUUGUACUGCCAACAGUAACACACAGGGUUUUACUUGAAGGACCUGUGCUUACUAAACAUUUUCUUUCAUUUCAUAAAGUUGGAUGCGCAUCCCAUUUUCGGUCUAUAUGAUCCAUAUCUGUUCCUUUUACGCGCCGGGAAGGAGGCCUCCUUCCACGGACGCUAAGACCGGUCGCAAGCGACACACAGUCUCCAUGAGUGUACACGUUAACCCUUACUAGCAAACCUUCGUCUAGCGUAGGGUCCGAAUUCGAUUUCCUUUAUAGUUGGCGAACCAACACAGAUAGGAUACAUACAUAAAACAUAAACAUUUUUGG
RNAcentral lists this long non-coding RNA (386 nucleotides) under Salvia miltiorrhiza (redroot sage). RNAcentral describes it as "long non-coding RNA (SMIL_LNC004490)". The record is from RNAcentral. Lineage: Eukaryota; Viridiplantae; Streptophyta; Magnoliopsida; Lamiales; Lamiaceae.